Molecule: long non-coding RNA, 260 nt
Filed under: Elaeis guineensis (African oil palm)
Lineage: Eukaryota; Viridiplantae; Streptophyta; Magnoliopsida; Arecales; Arecaceae
Description: long non-coding RNA (EGUI_LNC022679)
Source: RNAcentral
UUUCUGCUCCUAUAGUAACUAUUCCCAAAAUUAAAACCAACCCUCCUUGCAUCUGAGUUAUAAAUUUUAUAUACCUCUUCUUUUGAAGAAAAUGCAUUUCACUUCUAGAUUUGAAUGUGAACCAACAACUAUGUUCGGUAAUGAAUUUUCAUCUUGAGUAGAUAUCUACAUAUAUUAAAUAAUUAAAAAAAUGUCAAGUCCUCCAAAAUAAUAACAGCUCUAAUAACACAUUCAGAAGUAGUACUUAAUCGAUUAUAAUG